This 440-nucleotide ribosomal RNA is filed under the name uncultured bacterium. RNAcentral describes it as "partial 16S ribosomal RNA". It matches the Rfam family "Bacterial small subunit ribosomal RNA", at positions 338 to 795 of the family's 1533-position model. The record is from RNAcentral.
CCUACGGGAGGCAUCAGUGGGGGAUAUUGCACAAUGGGGGAAACCCUGAUGCAGCGACGCCGCGUGUGGGAAGACGGUCCUCUGGAUUGUAAACCACUGUCCCCAGGGACGAAAAUGACGGUACCUGGGGAGGAAGCUCCGGCUAACUACGUGCCAGCAGCCGCGGUCAUACGUAGGGAGCGAGCGUUGUCCGGAAUUACUGGGUGUAAAGGGGGCGUAGGCGGGGAAGCAAGUUGGGUGUCAAAACUACCGGCUCAACUGGUAGUCGCACUCAAAACUGCAGCUCUUGAGUGAAGUAGAGGCAGGCGGAAUUCCUAGUGAAGCGGUGAAAUGCGUAGAUAUUAGGAGGAACACCAGUGGCGAAGGCGGCCUGCUGGGCUUUUACUGACGCUGAGGAUCGAAAGUGUGGGGAGCAAACAGGAUUAGAUACCCUUGUAGUC